GACGAACGCUGGCGGCGUGCUUAAUACAUGCAAGUCUUAGGGGCUUUUUACCUUCGGGUAAAAGUCACUGGCGCACGGGUGAGUAACACGUAAGUUAUCUGCCCCCGGGUCUGGCAUAACUCCGGGAAACCGGAGCUAAUUCCAGAUGAUAUCGUAAGAUCAAAGAUUUUUCGCCCGGGGAUGAGCUUGCGUCUGAUUAGCUAGUUGGCGGGGUAAUGGCCCACCAAGGCGACGAUCAGUAGCCGGUCUGAGAGGAUGAUCGGCCACAUUGGGACUGAGACACGGCCCAGACUCCGUACGGGAGGCAGCAGUAAGGAAUAUUGCGCAAUGGACGAAAGUCUGACGCAGCAACGCCGCGUGC
Molecule: ribosomal RNA, 361 nt
Filed under: uncultured bacterium
Lineage: Bacteria
Description: bacterial SSU rRNA
Rfam family: Bacterial small subunit ribosomal RNA
Source: RNAcentral